This 844-nucleotide small RNA is filed under the name Pongo abelii (Sumatran orangutan). RNAcentral's name for it is "retained intron". The record is from RNAcentral. Lineage: Eukaryota; Metazoa; Chordata; Mammalia; Primates; Hominidae.
GUCGGAGAUGGCGGGGCUUCAGCACCUCAGCCGUCCUGGGCCGCCGGACACCCCCGCUGGGGCCGAUGCCCAACAGUGACAUCGACUUGAGCAACCUGGAGCGGCUGGAGAAGUACCGGAGCUUCGACCGCUACCGGCGCCGGGCAGAGCAGGAGGCGCAGGCCCCGCACUGGUGGCGGACCUACCGGGAGCAUUUCGGGGAGAAGACAGAUCCCGAAGAAAAGAUUGAUAUUGGGCUGCCUCCACCCAAAGUCUCCCGGACCCAACAGCUACUGGAACGGAAACAGGCCAUCCGGGAGCUUCGGGCCAAUGUGGAAGAGGAGCGGGCUGCCCGCCUCCGCACAGCCAGUGUCCCGCUGGAUGCUGUGCGGGCCGAGUGGGAGAGGACCUGUGGCCCCUACCACAAGCAGCGUCUGGCUGAGUAUUACGGCCUCUACCGAGACCUGUUCCACGGUGCUACCUUUGUGCCCCGAGUCCCUCUGCACGUGGCCUACGCUGUGGGUGAGGACGACCUGAUGCCCGUGUACUGUGGCAAUGAGGUGACUCCAACCGAGGCUGCCCAAGUGCCAGAGGUGACCUAUGAGGCAGAAGAGGGCUCCUUGUGGACAUUGCUACUCACUAGCUUGGAUGGGCACCUGCUGGAGCCGGAUGCUGAGUACCUCCACUGGCUGCUGUGAGUACCGGAGUACCGGGGGUAGGGGGGUGCUGCCCAGGCCGGAAGAGGACCUGGGAGCCUGGACUGAGCUGCUCCUAAGUUUCAUGGACUACCCAUGGGACCUGGAAUUCACCUCCCGCCUCUGCCUCCUGAGGGUGUUAGGGGCCCUGGGAUCCACGUGUCUACUUG